Molecule: ribosomal RNA, 253 nt
Filed under: uncultured bacterium
Lineage: Bacteria
Description: partial 16S ribosomal RNA
Rfam family: Bacterial small subunit ribosomal RNA
Source: RNAcentral
UACGAAGGGUGCUAGCGUUGUUCGGAAUUACUGGGCGUAAAGCGCACGUAGGCGGAUUGUUAAGUCAGAGGUGAAAUCCCGGAGCUCAACUUCGGAACUGCCUUUGAUACUGGCAAUCUAGAGUCCGGAAGAGGUUAGUGGAAUUCCCAGUGUAGAGGUGAAAUUCGUAGAUAUUGGGAAGAACACCAGUGGCGAAGGCGGCUAACUGGUCCGGUACUGACGCUGAGGUGCGAAAGCGUGGGGAGCAAACAGG